GUGCCAGCCGCGGCGGUAAGACGUAGGGCGCGAGCGUUGUCCGGAUUUAUUGGGCGUAAAGAGCUCGUAGGCGGCUUGUCGCGUCGACUGUGAAAACCCGCAGCUCAACUGCGGGCCUGCAGUCGAUACGGGCAGGCUAGAGUUCGGUAGGGGAGACUGGAAUUCCUGGUGUAGCGGUGAAAUGCGCAGAUAUCAGGAGGAACACCGGUGGCGAAGGCGGGUCUCUGGGCCGAUACUGACGGCUGAGGAGCGAAAGCGUGGGAGCGAACAGGAUUAGAUACCCUGGUAGUCCACGCUGUAAACGUUGGGCGCUAGGUGUGGGGGCCUCUCCGGUUCUCUGUGCCGCAGCUAGCGCAUUAA
This 360-nucleotide ribosomal RNA is filed under the name uncultured Micromonospora sp. RNAcentral describes it as "bacterial SSU rRNA". It matches the Rfam family "Bacterial small subunit ribosomal RNA", at positions 505 to 863 of the family's 1533-position model. The record is from RNAcentral. Lineage: Bacteria; Bacillati; Actinomycetota; Actinomycetes; Micromonosporales; Micromonosporaceae.